AUGGAGGCGGUGCCUGGUGCGAAUGCUGCCAGUUAGGGGUGUCCAGUACAGUGCGGCCGGACCCCUCUGUCCAAAGCCACCAAGGGCGCCGGGAACUUUAGAGCAAGCCGUGACCCCCGUCAGGAAGUGAUUUUUCAAUGUGGUCACAAACCACAGAAAAAUGGAGAGAUGGGGCCUGUGCACAUCGGCAACAGAAAUAGAGGUUUAUGUGACAGGAGGAAGGCGGCGUGGAAAGGGGCAGCCGGUUACCAAAUGAAGAGAAACCAUCUGCCGGUUUUGAGGCAAUAGAGGCAAAGAAGAUUUUUCCAGGCCGCCCACCUUUAGAGGAGGCACUGAAUGGUGAAAGGCUGGCAGCCGCAGAGACGAGCAAUGAACGGAUCUAGGAAAAAAAGGCCAUAAAAUGGAUCAUUUUGUUGCUGCCGAAUCAAAAUUGGCACCGGGUGAAUUUCCAUCGACUCCGAGGCAUUCCGAGCAGAUUACGAAAGCCUAGAUUGGGGCAGGAGGAUUUGGGGCACACGGUUAAUCCAAGAGGCCAUGGCAAGCGCUUAGCCCAGUGCUCUGCACGCAGUGGGCACUCAGGUCCGCCGGCUCAAGUUGUUCACGGAUUCAGCAACAAAGGAUGGUGAUUCUAAGUCCUGUCCCCAUUCCCUCUUGGCUCUCCAGAGACCUUAGGAAAAAGGCCCGGGUGCUUCUCAAGGUGUUUGUCCUCCAAACUGCCCCAGGACUGAAGUGUGUGC
Long non-coding RNA from Tachyglossus aculeatus (Australian echidna), 737 nucleotides. RefSeq lists it as uncharacterized. The transcript is spliced from 4 exons. Lineage: Eukaryota; Metazoa; Chordata; Mammalia; Monotremata; Tachyglossidae. The record is from RefSeq and is a predicted model, not a curated record.